CUUGUCCAAACCGGAGCUAACGACUGCGAAGAAAGCAAUCCUACCGAGACCUAGGACCGGUCACACCUCCUCGCACACUCUCUGGUAGCAAAGAGUUCACGCUACCCUCAAAGUUCUGAGACGGUAAACUUCAUACGGCACCCAGGCUGUGCACCAGUUCAAAGAGUGUGUUGAUGAAGAGCUACCAGGUUCCCGGCGGUUCGCUCCCGACCAGCUCCAUCUUUUGCACCAUAUAUCAAUCGCUUAUCGUGCGCUCCAGACGCUAAAAAACCUCUCCUUCUUUCUCCUAUCCGCGUCCUACAAAUCGUCACCUGUCUUCUCCGCACUCCCUCCACGGUCAUCUCAUCCGAUAACCCAAACUCUGAAAAUAAUUGACGUCAUUCUCCAAAACAUGUCUCACAAUACUGAGACACGGAAUGCAAGCUGUGGAGAGGCAGGGGUAACAAUGUAACCUGGGCACACAAUGACACGGGUUGCGGAGGCUGGCUCGAAACAAAGACCGGAAAAUCGUCAGCUUGCGAAAUUGCAGUCAUUGCAUGCAACGCUGCCGGUUCCUGGACUGAUGAGCUGUAUCGAGUCAUGAACAUCUCCAACCAUCAAGUCAGACAUUGUCAAACACUCGAGCAUUAACGGUACAAGACAUUGUUGAGCUGUAACGAGACAAGACAUUGGUCGGGCUGUAACAAGACAGUCCGCCUUGAAUGUAGGCCGUCGAUCAGAGAGCUGCACGGAUCCAGUUUCGGUCUCGAG
RNAcentral lists this unclassified non-coding RNA (750 nucleotides) under Yarrowia lipolytica. The record is from RNAcentral. Lineage: Eukaryota; Fungi; Ascomycota; Dipodascomycetes; Dipodascales.